AACGAACGCUGGCGGCAUGCCUAACACAUGCAAGUCGAACGAAGGCUUCGGCCUUAGUGGCGCACGGGUGCGUAACGCGUGGGAAUCUGCCCUUGGGUUCGGAAUAACAGUUAGAAAUGACUGCUAAUACCGGAUGAUGACGAAAGUCCAAAGAUUUAUCGCCCAAGGAUGAGCCCGCGUAGGAUUAGGUAGUUGGUGGGGUAAUGGCCUACCAAGCCGACGAUCCUUAGCUGGUCUGAGAGGAUGAUCAGCCACACUGGGACUGAGACACGGCCCAGACUCCUACGGGAGGCAGCAGUGGGGAAUAUUGGACAAUGGGCGAAAGCCUGAUCCAGCAAUGCCGCGUGAGUGAUGAAGGCCUUCGGGUCGUAAAGCUCUUUUACCAGGGAUGAUAAUGACAGUACCUGGAGAAUAAGCUCCGGCUAACUCCGUGCCAGCAGCCGCGGUAA
Molecule: ribosomal RNA, 449 nt
Filed under: uncultured bacterium
Lineage: Bacteria
Description: partial 16S ribosomal RNA
Rfam family: Bacterial small subunit ribosomal RNA
Source: RNAcentral